Cordylochernes scorpioides is the source of this 77-nucleotide non-coding RNA. Lineage: Eukaryota; Metazoa; Arthropoda; Arachnida; Pseudoscorpiones; Chernetidae. The record is from the annotation of a GenBank genome assembly.
AGGUUCCGCCCGGGAUCGAACCGGGGACCUUUCGCGUGUAAAGCGAACGUGAAAACCACUACACCACGAAGAAGACC